AAAAAGCUAUAGGGACAGUAAAAAUAAAUAGACAUAUUUAUUAUUUAUCAAUGGAUAAAGAGGAUCAGUUUGAAUUUAAGGCCACAGAGAUCCCUCAAAAGCCAUGCACAGACAUGCUGAAGGAGGCCUAUCUGAACCUGCUCUCUCUGCGCCUGGAAUUCCAGCGUGAACAGAGCACUCCGGAGGAAGGAGCUUUCCAAACGAAUCUGGUUAAUAAAGAGAAAGACCUCAGUCUGCUCUAUGGAGCACAAAAUGUUUGUUAUUGUACACAGCUCCAGUGCUCUGCCCUCACGCAAUAAAGAUCUGCUGGUGUAUGUAGCACACAUUAUCCUGGAGGAAGAGAAGAGGCAGGGAGAGCCAGGAGCGAUGCAGGGAUGGAGGGAAGCAUGGAGGGAUGCAGUACUAAACGGGGUUCAAGAUACACUGGAGAAAGUUCAUCUGGACAGCCAUGAGCAGAACGCUUCCUGGCUGGCAGUGCAUCUGGGGCUUCUGGGUAAAGCUGUGGAGGAGGAUUUAGAGAGAGUGAAGACUGAACAUCAGACUUUAUUGUGUUUGAAACCUAUGUGUCCUGCUAUCAUGAGGCUGUAGGAGAGCAUCUAAAGAGACUUCUGGAAAAGGUGAUAGAGUGAAAGAUUACUAUGCUCUUCUAGAGUUCAUUAUUCAUCGCUACCCCAUUGAUCUGAGAGUCCAUGAGAGUGCCCUUAUAAUGGCAGAGGACCGGAACAAAAUAAAAACUUCUUACUGUGAUUGCCAAUUGGAAGAGGCAAUGAAAAUAUUCUUAUACUCAGGGACCAUCCUUAAAAUGGCUUUAUCCACUGGGAGAUUACCUUAGCAACAUUAUUGGAAUGGAAAAUGAGAAAAAUAUAAAAGAUAUGCACUGGUUAGUAAUUACCCAGACAUCAGCAAGAAGCAGUUGUCAGCUGUUCUGUCCUUCAGAGACAAUGGUUUAAACUUUGAGAGUGACAAGAAGUGACAAGAAUCUGAUCACAUCACUAGAUUCUCUUGGCCAUUCGGAUGCUUCGGGAACCAUCAGGAACUAUAAACAAUUGCAUUAUUUUAUGAGGCUACUUGUGCUAUUUGCCUCUAACCAUCCAUUAUUUUUUUAGCAAGAAUUUAACCAUUUAACUAUUAUUGUGCAGCCUUAUUUUGGUGUAUGUUUUGGUUGUUUGUACGUAUAUUUUCCAACAGAGGGAGACAUUAAACUAUAGAUGCAAAUUUCGCAUUUCCUCCAUAUUGCCUAAUCAUGCAUAAAGAGACUUGGUGGAUUCAGUCUAUCUACUGUUAUAUCAAUCAAUCAUCUAAAUGUGAAUUAUAAAACACAAUGCUGGACAAAACUGAGUGUGUGCUGUGCAAUAUUAACUCCAGGUGGACUCAGCUCUUGCAACAAAACCUAUUGGUUGGUUAUUCAUAUUUUGUCCCUCC
This is a long non-coding RNA of Cyprinus carpio carpio, 1422 nucleotides long. The record is from Ensembl. Lineage: Eukaryota; Metazoa; Chordata; Actinopteri; Cypriniformes; Cyprinidae.